This 492-nucleotide ribosomal RNA is filed under the name uncultured bacterium. RNAcentral describes it as "partial 16S ribosomal RNA". It matches the Rfam family "Bacterial small subunit ribosomal RNA", at positions 29 to 507 of the family's 1533-position model. The record is from RNAcentral.
AGUGAACGCUGGCGGUAGGCCUAACACAUGCAAGUCGAACGGCAGCACAGUAAGAGCUUGCUCUUACGGGUGGCGAGUGGCGGACGGGUGAGGAAUACAUCGGAAUCUACUUUUUCGUGGGGGAUAACGUAGGGAAACUUACGCUAAUACCGCAUACGACCUACGGGUGAAAGCAGGGGAUCUUCGGACCUUGCGCGAUUGAAUGAGCCGAUGUCGGAUUAGCUAGUUGGCGGGGUAAAGGCCCACCAAGUCGACGAUCCGUAGCUGGUCUGAGAGGAUGAUCAGCCACACUGGAACGGAGACACGGUCCAGACUCCUACGGGAGGCAGCAGUGGGGAAUAUUGGACAAUGGGCGCAAGCCUGAUCCAGCCAUACCGCGUGGGUGAAGAAGGCCUUCGGGUUGUAAAGCCCUUUUGUUGGGAAAGAAAAGCAGCAGGUUAAUACCCCGCUGUUCUGACGGUACCCAAAGAAUAAGCACCGGCUAACUUCGUG